AACUGCUGUAAUUUUCAGCCAUUUGCUCAACCUUCAUUAAGCUCUUGUUUGAUUCCCUUUAAAAUUUUAAUACAUUUUCUCUCUUUUUUCUUUUCAACCACAAAUUCUUUAAUAAAAUAAUAUUACACAUAAAUAAAUAAAAAUUCCUUAUUUUUUAAUCACAAAUCCUUCCAAAAAAUUACUAUUCCAAAUUACAUUUUACCCAAAUUUCUCAUUAUAAUGGUUGUCAAUCAAGGGCUAAAUUUUCCAUAUUGUCAUGGAUCUGGUCAUUUUUUAUGUGUAUUUGAGGAGCUUGAGAAAAUCCCAAGGCAUUAAGAUAGGACAAUUUUGCCACCGAACAAUAUAUAUCCAGAUAGCUGAUAGUCAUAUAUAUUGAAAGUAAUGCAAUUUCAAGAGAACUCAACACAGAAAUGACAUCUAAUUAUAAUAAUUUAGAUGGCUAGAAAUUGGUUUUGGGGAGAGUCGUGUACCAUGAACUCAAUAAUUUCCUUUAGUGUAGCAUCUCUGGAGCUGCAAGUUCCAACUGUCACUUAAAUACUGCAUAUGUUUACAAAGCCAUUUGAUGCAAUUUUUAUAUUGUAGAUCCUGCUGCAUGCCUGCAUAUGAUAAUUAUAAGAUCAAGCAUCAGAUUUUUGACAAAUCCAUUUGCGUGCGCCUUAAGUGCAUCUUGUGUGCAGACUCUUUACUAAAAAUCACCCACUAGACGUACUUUGUGCAGCUUGUAGAACACCAUGUGAAAGACCACCAAUAUUCGAAAAAUUUCUUGAUGCACAAAGCUAGUUCACAUUUGGAAUGUUGCGGUUCCUUGAACAUUGUGCAGCCCUUUGGAUGGUGGUUGUAGAUAUCACAAGAAAUAUUAUUUAAAUUCAAUAUCUAAUGCAUUUACAGUAAACAGAAAGUAGUGCAUGUUUGGUACAUGGUAUGGAAAAUUCAACAUAAAUUUUGUGCAAAAGAAAUUUACAAAUAUUAGAACCUUUUGGCCUGAUCUACAAUAUAGAUCAUGCAUAUUGAGUUGCAUAAAACUUGACAUUUGGUUGGGAAAACAAAGAUUAAAAUAAAAUUCAAGCUUUAUCUUAAAAAAAGGACCAUGACAUAAACAUGCUGUCGCACGCACAAAAAUAAUGCAUUAACUCC
This 1134-nucleotide long non-coding RNA is filed under the name Olea europaea (common olive). RNAcentral describes it as "long non-coding RNA (OEUR_LNC008316)". Lineage: Eukaryota; Viridiplantae; Streptophyta; Magnoliopsida; Lamiales; Oleaceae. The record is from RNAcentral.